UACCAGCUUUCCGAGUGGUAGGGACGAUUAUUGGGCUUAAAGCGUCCGUAGCCGGCCCGGCAAGUCUCUCGUUAAAUCCAGCGACCUAAUCGUUGGGCUGCAGGAGAUACUGUUGGGCUAGGGGGCAGGAGAGGCCGACGGUAUUCCCGGGGUAGGGGUGAAAUCCUAUAAUCCCGGGAGGACCACCAGUGGCGAAGGCUGUCGGCUAGAACGCGCUCGACGGUGAGGGACGAAAGCUGGGGGAG
This 245-nucleotide ribosomal RNA is filed under the name uncultured Desulfurococcales archaeon. RNAcentral describes it as "partial 16S ribosomal RNA". It matches the Rfam family "Archaeal small subunit ribosomal RNA", at positions 474 to 719 of the family's 1478-position model. Lineage: Archaea; Thermoproteati; Thermoproteota; Thermoprotei; Desulfurococcales. The record is from RNAcentral.